GCUUACGGCCAUACCAACCUGGCUAUGCCCGAUCUCGUCUGAUCUCGGAAGCUAAGCAGGUUUGGGCCUGGUUAGUACUUGGAUGGGAGACUUCCUGGGAAUACCAGGUGCUGUAAGCU
RNAcentral lists this ribosomal RNA (119 nucleotides) under Carassius auratus (goldfish). The record is from RNAcentral. Lineage: Eukaryota; Metazoa; Chordata; Actinopteri; Cypriniformes; Cyprinidae.